This 603-nucleotide long non-coding RNA is filed under the name Ananas comosus (pineapple). RNAcentral's name for it is "long non-coding RNA (ACOM_LNC039286)". Lineage: Eukaryota; Viridiplantae; Streptophyta; Magnoliopsida; Poales; Bromeliaceae. The record is from RNAcentral.
UAUAUAUAUAUAUAUAUAUAUAUAUAUAGAGAGAGAGAGAGAGAGAGAGAGAGAGAGAGUUGAGCUGGAAUGUUAUCGGUAGCAAACCGGCUCCGUUGCCACCCAUUUGUUUUCGAUGAUGGAGCCUUUAAAUUGACAAUCGGCACCCUUGAACAUAAUCUAUACCACUUGAAGUAUCUAAAAACCAAAUUUCAAAUCUUUUCGACAUUAUUGACCUAUUGAUCAAAGGGUUUCAAAAUUUGUAAUUUUAAUGGUAGAUAUGAGACGUUUUCUCGUUUAACGGUGUAAAGCUAUCCAAAUCAAUUGAAUUUUGGUUAAAAAAUUCUUUAAACUAUUUAGAAUAAGAUCUAUACUCUCGAUCUUAAUUACAAAAUUUCUAUCAUCACCUUUUAGAGGAUAUUCAUUUUCAACCGUUCAUUUUUACGCCCACUUGAUGGACAAGAGAACAAUAUCAAAAAAGUAUAAAAUUUGAUUUCUAGAUACUUCAAGUGAUAUAGAUCAUAUUCAACGGUGCCGAUCAUCGAUUUGGAGGCUCCAUCAUUAAAAACAAAUGGGUGGCAACGGAGUCCGUUUGCUACCGAUAGUAUUCUAGCUCAACUCUAU